GCGGAGGAAAAGAAACCAACAGGGAUUGCCCUAGUAACGGCGAGUGAAGCGGCAACAGCUCAAAUUUGAAAUCUGGCUCUCGGGCCCGAGUUGUAAUUUGUAGAGGAUGCUUUUGAUGCGGUGCCUUCCGAGUUCCCUGGAACGGGACGCCAUAGAGGGUGAGAGCCCCGUCUGGUUGGAUGCCAAAUCUCUGUAAAGCUCCUUCGACGAGUCGAGUAGUUUGGGAAUGCUGCUCUAAAUGGGAGGUAUAUGUCUUCUAAAGCUAAAUACCGGCCAGAGACCGAUAGCGCACAAGUAGAGUGAUCGAAAGAUGAAAAGCACUUUGAAAAGAGAGUUAAAAAGUACGUGAAAUUGUUGAAAGGGAAGCGUUUAUGACCAGACUUGGGCUUGGUUAAUCAUCUGGGGUUCUCCCCAGUGCACUUUUCCAGUCCAGGCCAGCAUCAGUUUUCGCCGGGGGAUAAAGGCUUCGGGAAUGUGGCUCUCUCCGGGGAGUGUUAUAGCCCGUUGCGUAAUACCCUGGCGGGGACUGAGGUUCGCGCAUCUGCAAGGAUGCUGGCGUAAUGGUCAUCAACGACCCGUCUUGAAACACGGACCAAGGAGUCGUCUUCGUAUGCGAGUGUUCGGGUGUCAAACCCCUACGCGUAAUGAAAGUGAACGCAGGUGAGAGCUUCGGCGCAUCAUCGACCGAUCCUGAUGUUCUCGGAUGGAUUUGAGUAAGAGCAUACGGGGCCGGACCCGAAAGAAGGUGAACUAUGCCUGUGUAGGGUGAAGCCAGAGGAAACUCUGGUGGAGGCUCGCAGCGGUUCUGACGUGCAAAUCGAUCGUCAAACAUGGGCAUGGGGGCGAAAGA
Molecule: ribosomal RNA, 850 nt
Filed under: Fusarium flagelliforme
Lineage: Eukaryota; Fungi; Ascomycota; Sordariomycetes; Hypocreales; Nectriaceae
Description: partial large subunit ribosomal RNA
Rfam family: Eukaryotic large subunit ribosomal RNA
Source: RNAcentral